This 549-nucleotide ribosomal RNA is filed under the name Escherichia coli. RNAcentral's name for it is "partial 23S ribosomal RNA". It matches the Rfam family "Bacterial large subunit ribosomal RNA", at positions 1293 to 1827 of the family's 2925-position model. The record is from RNAcentral. Lineage: Bacteria; Pseudomonadati; Pseudomonadota; Gammaproteobacteria; Enterobacterales; Enterobacteriaceae.
AAUGCUGACAUAAGUAACGAUAAAGCGGGUGAAAAGCCCGCUCGCCGGAAGACCAAGGGUUCCUGUCCAACGUUAAUCGGGGCAGGGUGAGUCGACCCCUAAGGCGAGGCCGAAAGGCGUAGUCGAUGGGAAACAGGUUAAUAUUCCUGUACUUGGUGUUACUGCGAAGGGGGGACGGAGAAGGCUAUGUUGGCCGGGCGACGGUUGUCCCGGUUUAAGCGUGUAGGCUGGUUUUCCAGGCAAAUCCGGAAAAUCAAGGCUGAGGCGUGAUGACGAGGCACUACGGUGCUGAAGCAACAAAUGCCCUGCUUCCAGGAAAAGCCUCUAAGCAUCAGGUAACAUCAAAUCGUACCCCAAACCGACACAGGUGGUCAGGUAGAGAAUACCAAGGCGCUUGAGAGAACUCGGGUGAAGGAACUAGGCAAAAUGGUGCCGUAACUUCGGGAGAAGGCACGCUGAUAUGUAGGUGAAGUCCCUCGCGGAUGGAGCUGAAAUCAGUCGAAGAUACCAGCUGGCUGCAACUGUUUAUUAAAAACACAGCACUGUGCA